AAACCUGUGUGAAAAAGAUAAAUUUUCCUAGAAACCUGUGUUUCUUCGUCAAGUUAUCUAUUUUCACUUUGGCUUU
Molecule: non-coding RNA, 76 nt
Filed under: unclassified sequences
Source: RNAcentral